UGCCAGCCGUGACCACCGGGAUGAUGGAC
RNAcentral lists this non-coding RNA (29 nucleotides) under Homo sapiens (human). Lineage: Eukaryota; Metazoa; Chordata; Mammalia; Primates; Hominidae. The record is from RNAcentral.